AACGCACCUUGCGCCCUCUGGUAUUCCGGAGGGCAUGCCUGUUUGAGUGUCAUUAUAUUCUCAACUUCAAUAAUUUAUUGUUGAAGCUUGGAUGUGGAGGCUUUUGCUGGCAUCUCAGAUGUCCGGCUCCUCUUAAAUGCAUUAGUGGAACCCGUUCAGUUGGGCUAUCCUUGGUUGUGAUAAUUAUCUACGCUUUGGAUUAGUCUCUAACAAACUCUUAGUGGUCAAUGUACUUUUGUACGUUGGUUUGGGGUAUUGCAUUCAUUUGCUUCGCCUGGUUCACUAUAGAGUGAAAGGGAAAGUGACCGCUUUCGAACUGUCUGUGUAUUGCGGACGAUUUUAUUGACUAUUUGACCUCAAAUCAGGUAGGACUACCCGCUGAACUUAA
This 388-nucleotide unclassified non-coding RNA is filed under the name Gymnopus sp. Its description in RNAcentral is "partial contains 5.8S ribosomal RNA, internal transcribed spacer 2, and large subunit ribosomal RNA". The stretch from base 1 to 52 matches the Rfam family "5.8S ribosomal RNA", at positions 103 to 154 of the family's 154-position model. The record is from RNAcentral. Lineage: Eukaryota; Fungi; Basidiomycota; Agaricomycetes; Agaricales; Omphalotaceae. RNAcentral also lists the same sequence under 2 other names.